GAUGAACGCUGGCGGCGUGCCUAAUACAUGCAAGUCGAGCGAACAGACGAGGAGCUUGCUCCUCUGAUGUUAGCGGCGGACGGGUGAGUAACACGUGGAUAACCUACCUAUAAGACUGGGAUAACUUCGGGAAACCGGAGCUAAUACCGGAUAACAUGUUGAACCGCAUGGUUCAACAGUGAAAGACGGUCUUGCUGUCACUUAUAGAUGGAUCCGCGCCGCAUUAGCUAGUUGGUAAGGUAACGGCUUACCAGGGCAACGAUGCGUAGCCGACCUGAGAGGGUGAUCGGCCACACUGGAACUGAGACACGGUCCAGACUCCUACGGGAGGCAGCAGUAGGGAAUCUUCCGCAAUGGGCGAAAGCCUGACGGAGCAACGCCGCGUGAGUGAAGAAGGUCUUCGGAUCGUAAAACUCUGUUAUUAGGGAAGAACAAAUGUGUAAGUAACUAUGCACGUCUUGACGGUACCUAAUCAGAAAGCCACGGCUAACUACGUG
Molecule: ribosomal RNA, 497 nt
Filed under: uncultured bacterium
Lineage: Bacteria
Description: partial 16S ribosomal RNA
Rfam family: Bacterial small subunit ribosomal RNA
Source: RNAcentral